RNAcentral lists this ribosomal RNA (509 nucleotides) under Arthrobacter sp. RNAcentral describes it as "bacterial SSU rRNA". It matches the Rfam family "Bacterial small subunit ribosomal RNA", at positions 61 to 582 of the family's 1533-position model. The record is from RNAcentral. Lineage: Bacteria; Bacillati; Actinomycetota; Actinomycetes; Micrococcales; Micrococcaceae.
GUCGAACGAUGACCCCCAGCUUGCUGGGGUGAUUAGUGGCGAACGGGUGAGUAACACGUGAGUAACCUGCCCCUGACUCUGGGAUAAGCCCGGGAAACUGGGUCUAAUACUGGAUAUGCACCGUAAGCCGCAUGGCUUUUGGUGGAAAGAUUUUUUGGUCAGGGAUGGACUCGCGGCCUAUCAGCUUGUUGGUGAGGUAAUGGCUCACCAAGGCGACGACGGGUAGCCGGCCUGAGAGGGUGACCGGCCACACUGGGACUGAGACACGGCCCAGACUCCUACGGGAGGCAGCAGUGGGGAAUAUUGCACAAUGGGCGAAAGCCUGAUGCAGCGACGCCGCGUGAGGGAUGACGGCCUUCGGGUUGUAAACCUCUUUCAGUAGGGAAGAAGCGAAAGUGACGGUACCUGCAGAAGAAGCGCCGGCUAACUACGUGCCAGCAGCCGCGGUAAUACGUAGGGCGCAAGCGUUAUCCGGAAUUAUUGGGCGUAAAGAGCUCGUAGGCGGUUUG